GAAACUCCAUUGAGGAACUCUGCCAUAAAUCAGCAUGGCUUCUCUGAUCGCUAACACACUGGCCUUCUUUGGCGCUCGAUCACUUUCCCAGAUGGCAGAGGUACUGAGAGCACGUCUUAUCUGCCGCCUGCUGAUGCGCUGCCUGAGAAAGUUCCAGGCCUGUGCAUGACAUCAGCCGCUCCAUCGGCCGUCUGACGAGGGCUAUCAGUGGACCCCCUGAUUCCUCCCCUCUUUCACCUCUCUGGCUCUGGUGAUUUUGGACUAAUGAAGGGUCAGCAGGAGCAUUCCCAUGGACAACCAUACGAUGUUUGCUCAGUUGGCCCGCAGUGUUUUCUCAGGCCAAGCUCUGUACUUGUGAGGGUCACACAUGCUUCAUGAGAGGGAAACAGCUCGAUACUGAGAGUCUGAUAAUGCUUUACAAGCACCACCUUUCUCUAACUUUCUCCAGCU
Molecule: long non-coding RNA, 450 nt
Organism: Tachysurus fulvidraco (yellow catfish)
Lineage: Eukaryota; Metazoa; Chordata; Actinopteri; Siluriformes; Bagridae
Exons: 3
Source: RefSeq, a predicted model, not a curated record